Molecule: ribosomal RNA, 450 nt
Filed under: uncultured bacterium
Lineage: Bacteria
Description: partial 16S ribosomal RNA
Rfam family: Bacterial small subunit ribosomal RNA
Source: RNAcentral
CCUACGGGGGGCUGCAGUGAGGAAUAUUGGUCAAUGGACGCAAGUCUGAACCAGCCAUGCCGCGUGAAGGAUGACGGCCCUAUGGGUUGUAAACUUCUUUUGUACGGGACGAAUAUUUUCUACGUGUAGAGAACUGACGGUACCGUACGAAUAAGCAACGGCUAACUCCGUGCCAGCAGCCGCGGUAAUACGGAGGUUGCAAGCGUUAUCCGGAUUUAUUGGGGUUAAAGGGUGCGUAGACGGGAGUGGAGAAAGCCUGUAGCUUAACUAUAGAAUUGCCAUUGAUACUGAUAUUCUUGAGUGUAUUUGAGGUGGGCGGAAUGUGUAAUGUAGCGGUGAAAUGCUUAGAUAUUACACAGAACACCAAUUGCGUAGGCAGCUCACUAAACUACUACUGACGCUGAGGCACGAAAGCGUGGGGAGCAAACAGGAUUAGAUACCCCGGUAGUC